CUGGUUGAUCCUGCCAGUAGUCAUAUGCUUGUCUCAAAGAUUAAGCCAUGCAUGUCUAAGUACAAACUCUAGCACAGUGAAACUGCGAAUGGCUCAUUAGAUCAGUUAUGGUUCCUUAGACGAUACAAUCCUACUUGGAUAACUGUGGUAAUUCUAGAGCUAAUACAUGCACUCUAGCUCCGACCCUUUCGCGAGGGGAAGAGCGCGUUUAUCAGUUCGAAGCCAGCCGGGUUGCAAAACUCGACUCUUUGGUGACUCUGGAUAACUCUUGCGGAUCGCACGGUCUCGAACCGGCGACGCGUCUAUCAAGUGUCUGCCCUAUCAGACUGUCGAUGGUAAGUGCUAUGCUUACCAUGGUGAUAACGGGUAACGGGGAAUCAGGGUUCGAUUACGGAGAGGGAGCCUGAGAAACGGCUACCACAUCCAAGGAAGGCAGCAGGCGCGCAAAUUACCCAAUCUCGAUACGAGGAGGUAGUGACGAAAAAUAACAAUACGGGACUCUUUCGAGGCCCCGUAAUUGGAAUGAGUGUACUCUAAACGUGUGCACGAGGAUCUAUUGGAGGGCAAGUCUGGUGCCAGCAGCCGCGGUAAUUCCAGCUCCAAUAGCGUAUAUUAAAGCUGUUGUGGUUAAAAAGCUCGUAGUUGGAUCUCAGGGUCGUUCGCGUCGGUCCCUUGCUGCAAUGGCUCGGGUACUGCGCGGUGUCGUCCCCCUUGCCAGACCUCUCAAAAAGGUUGCUCUUGACUGAGUGGCCUGCUCGAGUGGCUGGAGAGUUUACUUUGAAAAAAUUAGAGUGUUCAAAGCAGGCACAGCCCGCCUGUAUAAUGGUGCAUGGAAUAAUGGAAUAGGACCCCGGAUCCUAUUUUGCUGGUUUUUGGAGCUCAGGGGUAAUGAUUAAGAGGAACAGGGCGGGGGCAUCCGUAUUACGGCGUUAGAGGUGAAAUUCUUGGAUCGUCGUAAGACGCCCUACAGCGAAAGCAUUUGCCAAGUAUGUUUUCAUUAAUCAAGAACGAAAGUCAGAGGUUCGAAGACGAUCAGAUACCGUCGUAGUUCUGACCGUAAACUAUGCCAACUGGCAGCCCGUCGGCGUUGCUCUAUUCGACUCGGCGGGAGGCCUACCCGAAAGGAAAGUCUACGGGUUCCAGGGGAAGUAUGGUUGCAAACUGAAACUUAAAGGAAUUGACGG
This 1184-nucleotide ribosomal RNA is filed under the name Lepetodrilus fucensis. RNAcentral describes it as "SSU rRNA". It matches the Rfam family "Eukaryotic small subunit ribosomal RNA", at positions 4 to 1159 of the family's 1831-position model. The record is from RNAcentral. Lineage: Eukaryota; Metazoa; Mollusca; Gastropoda; Lepetellida; Lepetodrilidae.